RNAcentral lists this unclassified non-coding RNA (263 nucleotides) under plant metagenome. RNAcentral describes it as "partial contains small subunit ribosomal RNA, internal transcribed spacer 1, and 5.8S ribosomal RNA". The record is from RNAcentral.
UUUCCGUAGGUGAACCUGCGGAAGGAUCAUUAUUGUAUGACACAGGUGCGAUGGCUGUCGCUGACCCGACCGGUCGUGAACGCCCGGGUGCCCUCACCCCCAUCCAUUUCACCACUAUGUGCGCCACCGCCUGCGUCCCCCUUUGGCUUGUUCGGAGGGGGGCUUCCGUUUUCACACAAACUUUGUAUGCAGUGUAGAAUGUGUUUUUUGUUUUAGCGAUCACGCAAUCAAUACAACUUUCAACAACGGAUCUCUUGGCUCUG